Molecule: long non-coding RNA, 860 nt
Filed under: Citrus x clementina
Lineage: Eukaryota; Viridiplantae; Streptophyta; Magnoliopsida; Sapindales; Rutaceae
Description: Citrus clementina (C. clementina) long non-coding RNA (CCLE_LNC005495)
Source: RNAcentral
CAAUAAAUUUUUUAAAGCAAACAUCAAAAUAGAGAAAUUUCAUUUAGAAUUUUAAUUAUACAGAAGAAAGCAAUACCUCAAGUUUUGCUUCACAGUCAAAUCGUAAGAAGUCACUGCUGAUAUAGGAGACUAUGUUCAAUGGCGUUAAUAGAAGUUACCUGUUUCAUCAUGUCAACAACACCAAUAAUAGAUUAAAAUUGCGCCACUCAAUUAAAAGAAAUCAUUAUCCAUCUCACUAGUAAUAUUUACUAAUUUAAAUUAAAAAUAAAAUAUAAUCUCCAAAAUCAGCUUUUCCGUGUAAAUAUUUCAAAGAAGAAAAUCAUCUUUUGGUUUCAAUGACCCACCACAAAAAAUUAAUAUUAGUUUGGUUUAUGUCAUAACAUAUGAACCCCACAAAUAAUAAAGAAUUGUCCCACUUACCAAGCAAUGAAUUUGCAAUGGGACCGUCUCGAACGAUUUUGAGUGGGAACAUUAGGACAAAGCCCGAAAUCUCCUGAAAAGAAUUAGUGGAAAGAGCAAACUAUUAAUUAAAUGGAAUUAGGAAAGUGAAACUGAGCUUUAUUAAUGAAAUUGAAAAGAAAAGUACCUGAUAAACCCGAUUCCUUGGUGGGCACUUGUUAUUACAAUGGCGAUGAAGGGGCUUGAUUUGCUUGAGUGGCAGAGAAAGAGUAAAGUGGCAUUGUAAAGUGAACCCAGGUUUCAUUAAGUCAAUUUCUUUUCUUUUCUUUUUUUUUGUUUAGUAAGUCAAUUUGUCUUUUUUUUUUCUUUUCAUCUUCCUUUUGCCGCGCUUUAACCCGUGCUGUAUAACUUAUGCGCGCUUAAUGAAAUUUCUUAUUUAUUGCACAUUAUUUUCUACUAUU